UUCUGAGAAUUGGAGUCACUCCUGCCCCUCCCCCAAUCAAUGGCAACCAAUGGAUACAAAGGCAUAAACAUUUUGUUAAGAACCGCUUCAACAUAAGCCCAUGCUGUGAGUUGAUUUACAUGACUGAUGUGCUUUAUGGAUGCAGCAGCCAGGGAUCGGGCAAAUUAUGCUCAGCCUCCCAUGCUUCUAUUUCCUGCCACUGGAGUACUAGCAGGUGUCAGCAGUGGUGACUGCAUCAAAACGGAAUACAACUGCAAGUUCCUGACAAGACAUCAGGGUCAACAGGCAGGUCAGUUGUCCCAGAAGACAAUUCAAUUGUACUAAAGCAACAAGCACACAAAAUACCAAACUGGCUUUUUUUUUUUUAAAUCCUGAUAGGUGGUAAUCAGUGAGCAAAAGAGCAUUGUAAUUACAGUGGUGCCUCACUAGACAGUUACCCCACAUGACAGUUUUUUUUGCUAGAUAUUGACUUUUUGCGAUCGCUAUAGCGAUUCUAUGGGGGAAUUUCGCUGGACAAUGUUUGGUCCCUGUUUUGCAAACCAAUUUUCGCUAGACAACGAUUUUGACAGCAAAACGGGUGUUUUCGGGACCUAAGCUUCGCAAGACAUCUAUUUAAACAGCUAAUCGGCAGUUUGCAAAGCUUCUUUCCUAUGGCCGAUCUUCGCUAGACGACGAUUCUUCCCCAUUGGAAGGCAUUAAACAGGUUUCAAUGCAUUCCAAUAGGGAAAUGCUUUUCGCUAGACAAUGAUUUCACUAAACAGCUAUUUCAGUGGAAGGCAUUAUCAUAGUCUAGCGAGGCACCACUGUAUUUUUUAAAGUAUUUAAACAAGAAAAACAUACAAAAUCUAGUAAAUGUAAAGGUUCCCCUUGACAUUUUUAGUCCAGUCGUGUCCGACUCUAGGGAGCGGUGCUCCUCCCAUUUUUAAACCGUAGAGCCAGCGCUUGUCCGAAGACAGUUUCAGUUGUCACGUGGCCAGCAUGACUAGGGAACUCCAUUUUACCUUCCCACUGAGGUGGUACCUAUUUAUCUACUCACAUUUGCAUGCUUUCGAACUGCUAGGUUGUCAAGGAGCUGGGACAAAGUGACGGGAACUCUGUUGUGUGGAUU
This 1108-nucleotide long non-coding RNA is filed under the name Pogona vitticeps (central bearded dragon). RNAcentral describes it as "lncRNA (ENSPVIG00000021841.1)". The record is from RNAcentral. Lineage: Eukaryota; Metazoa; Chordata; Lepidosauria; Squamata; Agamidae.